GACGAACGCUGGCGGCGUGCUUAACACAUGCAAGUCGAACGGAAAGGCCCUGCUUUUGUGGGGUGCUAGAGUGGCGAACGGGUUAGUAACACGUGCGUAUCCUGCCCUUGUCUUUGGGAUAACUUCAGGUAACUGGGGUUAAUACCGGAUAGGCGCUCCCGCUGCCUGGUGGGGGUUGGAACGUUUCGGCGGUUGGGGAUGAGCUCGCGGCUUAUCAGAUUGUUGGUGGGGUAGUGGCUUACCAAGGCUUUGACGGGUAGCCGGCCUGAGAGGGUGACCGGCCACAUUGGGACUGAGAUACGGCCCGGAGUCCUACGGGAGGCAGCAGUAGGGAAUAAUGCACAAUGGGCGGAAGCCUGAUGCAGCAACGCCGCGUGAGGGAUUACGGCCUUCGGGUGUUAGACCGCUUUCGGCUGUGACGAAGCGUGAGUGACGGUAAUGUGUAAAGAAGCACCGGCUAACUACGUG
RNAcentral lists this ribosomal RNA (468 nucleotides) under uncultured bacterium. RNAcentral's name for it is "partial 16S ribosomal RNA". It matches the Rfam family "Bacterial small subunit ribosomal RNA", at positions 28 to 507 of the family's 1533-position model. The record is from RNAcentral.